UCCACCACUACAGCAUCAUGUCUUGCCGCAGCUACUGGCAUAUCCCAUCUAACCCCAUCCCCCAAUAUGACUGCAUUACAAACAAGGCUAGAAAAGCAACAACAUAAUUUAAGGACCGCACUGAAGAUGAGCAGAGAAAAAAACCACCCACCACCUAACAAACAAUGAAGGGACACACAUUCUCAGCAGAAGGUGCCCGACAGCAUUUCAGCAUUACUGAGCUGAAGAUUUCACACAACAGCAUGGUCAUCUUGCAUCCUAUUUCUCUGAAGCCCUCUGCACUGACCACUAGCAACGUGUGGAUGAAGCUGCACGCAGAAUCGCAGCAGUGACCUUUUUCUGCUGCAGGCAUUUGUCGCCUUUCUUUGUAAAAGCCAAAUUAGGGCAGUAUAAACAAUAUGUACGUUACAAGGAAAUGAUCUCUGAGUAACAAAGUUUAACGAAUAAAUCACAGCAGUUGGAGCACUAUCA
Molecule: long non-coding RNA, 471 nt
Organism: Coturnix japonica (Japanese quail)
Lineage: Eukaryota; Metazoa; Chordata; Aves; Galliformes; Phasianidae
Source: RefSeq, a predicted model, not a curated record